RNAcentral lists this ribosomal RNA (497 nucleotides) under uncultured bacterium. RNAcentral's name for it is "partial 16S ribosomal RNA". It matches the Rfam family "Bacterial small subunit ribosomal RNA", at positions 28 to 507 of the family's 1533-position model. The record is from RNAcentral.
GAUGAACGCUGGCGGCGUGCCUAAUACAUGCAAGUCGAGCGAACAGACGAGGAGCUUGCUCCUCUGACGUUAGCGGCGGACGGGUGAGUAACACGUGGAUAACCUACCUAUAAGACUGGGAUAACUUCGGGAAACCGGAGCUAAUACCGGAUAACAUGUUGAACCGCAUGGUUCAACAGUGAAAGACGGUCUUGCUGUCACUUAUAGAUGGAUCCGCGCCGCAUUAGCUAGUUGGUAAGGUAACGGCUUACCAAGGCAACGAUGCGUAGCCGACCUGAGAGGGUGAUCGGCCACACUGGAACUGAGACACGGUCCAGACUCCUACGGGAGGCAGCAGUAGGGAAUCUUCCGCAAUGGGCGAAAGCCUUACGGAGCAACGCCGCGUGAGUGAAGAAGGUCCUCGGAUCGUAAAACUCUGUUAUUAGGGAAGAACAAAUUUGUAAGUAACUAUGCACGUCUUGACGGUACCUAAUCAGAAAGCCACGGCUAACUACGUG